RNAcentral lists this ribosomal RNA (468 nucleotides) under uncultured bacterium. RNAcentral describes it as "partial 16S ribosomal RNA". It matches the Rfam family "Bacterial small subunit ribosomal RNA", at positions 28 to 507 of the family's 1533-position model. The record is from RNAcentral.
GACGAACGCUGGCGGCGUGCUUAACACAUGCAAGUCGAACGGAAAGGCCCUGCUUUUGUGGGGUGCUCGAGUGGCGAACGGGUGAGUAACACGUGAGUAACCUGCCCUUGACUUUGGGAUAACUUCAGGAAACUGGGGCUAAUACCGGAUAGGAGCUCCUGCUGCAUGGUGGGGGUUGGAAAGUUUCGGCGGUUGGGGAUGGACUCGCGGCUUAUCAGCUUGUUGGUGGGGUAGUGGCUUACCAAGGCUUUGACGGGUAGCCGGCCUGAGAGGGUGGCCGGCGACAUGGGGACUGAGAUACGGCGCAGACGCCUACGGGAGGCAGCAGUGGGGAAUAUUGCACAAUGGGCGGAAGCCUGAUGCAGCGACGCCGCGUGCGGGAUGACGGCCUUCGGGUGGUAAACCGCUUUCGCCUGUGACGAAGCGUGAGUGACGGUAAUGGGUAAAGAAGCACCGGCUAACUACGUG